Octodon degus (degu) is the source of this 105-nucleotide small nuclear RNA. Lineage: Eukaryota; Metazoa; Chordata; Mammalia; Rodentia; Octodontidae. The record is from Ensembl.
UUGCUUCAACAGCACAUGUACUACAAAUUGGAACAGAUACAGAGAAGAUUAGUGUGGCCCUUGUGCAAGGAUGGCACACAAAUUCAUGAUGUGUUCCAUAUUAAA